Long non-coding RNA from Callithrix jacchus (white-tufted-ear marmoset), 1657 nucleotides. RefSeq lists it as uncharacterized. The record is from RefSeq and is a predicted model, not a curated record. Lineage: Eukaryota; Metazoa; Chordata; Mammalia; Primates; Cebidae.
AAUGGCGUGAUCUCGGCUCACCGCGACCUCCGCCUCCUGGGUUCAGACAAUUCUCCUGCCUCAGCCUCCUGAGUAGCUGGGAUUACAGGCAUGCGCCACCAUGCCCAGCUAAUUUUUUGUAUUUUUAGUAGAGACGGAGUUUCACCAUGUUUACCAGGAUGGUCUCGAUCUCUUGACCUCCUGAUCCACCCGCCUCGGCCUCCCAAAGUGCUGGGAUUACAGGCGUGAGCCACCGUGCCCGGCCACCAUGCUAAGCUUUCUAUCUAUGUGGCCGGCCCUCCUGGGAAUCCUUCCACUGGCUGACACCUUGUGAUGCCUCUGUUCUUACCAGGAUGCUCUCUGUGUACCUCUGGAAGGUUUAUCCCUUCUGCCACGUUCUGAAAUCUUAAGCAAAAUACCACACUCGCCUACAGCGAGCAGGGUCCCUAGUGGCUUCCCCACAUGGCUGUUCUAUUCCAGGCAGUGAAAUGGGCUGCGUCCGGCACCCUGCAAGUGAAGCGGCAUCGUUUGUCUGGGGUAAUACUUGAGAUUGGUUGUCUCACACCAAGGACAUCGAAGACGCAGACAAACAAAGAGUGGGUUUAAAAGCGAGAAGUUUAACAGGCCAAAGAAUAAAGCCCCACCGUGCAGAGAGAGGGGGUUUCUGAACGGGUUUCCCCGGUUUGGGGCAAGAUGUGGUUGGUUUUACAGAUGAGCUUGAAGAGGCGGUGUCUGAUUUGCAUAGGGUGUAUUGGAUUGGUUGGACCGGGUGUGCCAUUUACACAGGGCACGAGGAGGCUGGCCGUCCCGCCCUAAUAUUUUAUUAUGUAAAUGAGUCUUUACCUGGCCAGCACCCCCGUUGCCUGCACACGUGGUGACGAAAAGGGAAGAGGAAAACCCCCGUCCUCUUUGAAUCUGCCUGGCUUGCAGCUCCUGUGUCACAAAGCCACUUUUCUGGGAAGAGCUGCCUGCCAGUUCCCGACAGAACGGCAUCAAGUGCGUCAUGCUUAAUGAACCCGAGGCCUGGCUUACUAUUCGGCUUCUUGGAAUCAAGGAUGAAGCAGAGCACAGAAGCCUCUCUUCCUGCCCAGGGAGGACACGCAGGAGUGUCACAGGACCAGAUGCAACACAGAGCAUGAGGAAAGGAUGUGCCUUUGUUUUUCUCUCACCUUCUGCCAUGAUUGUGAGGCCUCCCCAGCCAUGUGAAACUGAAAUUGGCUUUUCGGAGGAGACUACAAGGGGCAAAGUAUUGGUCCUGGUGCCCUCUGGUGGCUGAAUUGCAAUUUCCUCACCUCCCCCAGGAACUGCCCCACUGGCUGGAGAGAACCGUGACUGUGGGUGGCUCCACUGUUCGAGUGGCUUCAGAUCGGUCUGCAGUUGGUUAGGUUAUGUCACCAAAUCUCUAGUUAUAAGAUUAGGCAUUUUUUUCCUUGUGUAAUUUCCAAUCAGAAAUUGGUUCAAUGGUCUGGUUAGUAUCUUGGUCUGUCUAGAAGAUGAAACAAUCUUACUUGCCAUACUUUGUAACCUGAAAUUUUUGUACUCAACAUUUGCCAAAAGAUUGAGGGGGCGGAGGUACAGGGGAUGUGUUUCCAGACACAUUCAUAUCUCUGGCUCUCAAGAGAAAUAUGACUCUCCUGUUGUAAGGCACACACAAUGAAGUAAAGUCGAAUUAAAGUAA